CGUGGAUGGGAGAUGUGCAGAAGUAGACGAUGUUCUUCCUGAUGGGUUUAGGAUGAAAAAGGGAGAUGGAUUGUACUACAUGGCCUAUGCCAUGGGCAGGAUGACUUAUAUUUGGGGAAAGGAUGCUGAGGAUUUUCGGCCAGAAAGAUGGCUCAGCAAUGGGAUUUUCCAACCUGAAUCGCCGUUUAAAUUCGUAGCAUUUCACGCUGGUCCUCGGAUAUGUUUGGGAAAAGAUUUUGCUUACCGACG
This 249-nucleotide unclassified non-coding RNA is filed under the name Hevea brasiliensis (rubber tree). Lineage: Eukaryota; Viridiplantae; Streptophyta; Magnoliopsida; Malpighiales; Euphorbiaceae. The record is from RNAcentral.